CAAACGCCAAAGCUUCAAUCCGUUCCUCUGCUCUCUCUCUCUCUCUCUCUCUCUCUCCCUCCCUCCGAUCAAACAAAUUUCAAUUCCUAAGUGCAAUACAAACAGAGCUAAACCCUAACUUAUCUGUAUAUAUAUACGGAGUAUAAAUUAUAUCAAGGGUUUUGAAGGGAGAUCAUCGAUCGGCGAUGAUGGUGGAGUUGUUUCUGCUAGGGUGCACCGGAAUUGUAGUGUUCCUUCACGGAGCCAACUUCUUCUUCCACGCUCUCACUCACCAGGUCGCCAUCCGCUCCCUCAGAUAAACAAGUGGAGGAGAUGAUGAUGCUGAAAUCGCAACUCACUGAGUAGGUGAAAGUAGGAGCGGAGCCUUUGCACCUAUGACCUAACGCCCCUGCGCUUCUCGUGAUUAACUAGUGCUAAUCACCAUCACAUUGCUUUAUUAAGGAGAUUAUAUCUUAAUUGUGAAAUGAUUUCAAAGUACUGCCUAUUAAUUUGAAACUUUAGUGUAUAAUUUAGCAUAAUAUCUCAAAUGUAAUGAUUAUAAGGCAGGCUCAGUGUUGCUAUGUUUUAAAGUAAAGCAAUAAUUUAUUAGCUUUCUUUUAUUUUUAUGGAAGAAGAUGAAAAUUAUUAGCGUUUUAUUAUAAUAAGUUUGAACUUUAAAUCAAAGGGGUUUUCACCACUUUUGUCAUAGAAGUGGGUGAAAUAGAUCCGAAAUAAAUAGUUAAAUGUA
Molecule: long non-coding RNA, 727 nt
Organism: Ipomoea triloba (trilobed morning glory)
Lineage: Eukaryota; Viridiplantae; Streptophyta; Magnoliopsida; Solanales; Convolvulaceae
Exons: 2
Source: RefSeq, a predicted model, not a curated record